RNAcentral lists this ribosomal RNA (253 nucleotides) under uncultured bacterium. RNAcentral's name for it is "partial 16S ribosomal RNA". It matches the Rfam family "Bacterial small subunit ribosomal RNA", at positions 524 to 776 of the family's 1533-position model. The record is from RNAcentral.
UACGAAGGGGGCUAGCGUUGCUCGGAAUCACUGGGCGUAAAGGGUGCGUAGGCGGGUCUUUAAGUCAGGGGUGAAAUCCUGGAGCUCAACUCCAGAACCUGCCUUUGAUACUGAAGAUCUUGAGUUCGGGAGAGGUGAGUGAACUGCGAGUGUAGAGGUGAAAUUCGUAGAUAUUCGCAAGAACACCAGUGGCGAAGGCGGCUCACUGGCCCGAUACUGACGCUGAGGCACGAAAGCGUGGGGAGCAAACAGG